GCCCGAGUGAGUGCCACUAGAGGUGUUAAUAGACCGUAAUGUAAACACUGCCUUUUACAUUAAAAAAACCUGCAGGAUCAAGCUAUGGACACCAGAACUACAUUAAGCAGUAGUUGUUCUGGUGACUAUAGUGUUCCUUUAAUGAGCUUUAUGCAAGAGUUCAUUGAGAAAUGCAGAAUCUUCAUCAGAUGAGGCAUCAGAAUCUUCAGAACUUCUUGAAUCUACAGACUCUUCCACUCUAUUCUUAUUUUCUGAGGCCUUAAGUCCCAUUCUGGCGAAAAAAAUACUGUACGUAACUAAACAGGGGACAAAGUAAAAGUAGAAGGUCUUACCUUGUUAGACCUCAGUGUGAGGUGUAGGGCUGGUAAGAGCACACCUACAACAGAGCUUAACAGCAGUUGGCUGACAGGUAGUUGUGGCUGGGUUGUAAAAUCUCCAAUGCCUUUAUAUUUGAAUUUGGUGCCAAAGCUUUUAGACCGCAUUGCUCUCUUGCAUAGUGUGCAGCGAUCUCUCGCCGGAACACAUCGCAACCAGUCCGUGCAUACCACCUUAACAGUCUCCAAGCCAUGCACUUGCGCACACACUGUUUG
Non-coding RNA from Pelobates cultripes (western spadefoot toad), 590 nucleotides. Lineage: Eukaryota; Metazoa; Chordata; Amphibia; Anura; Pelobatidae. The record is from the annotation of a GenBank genome assembly.